This is a non-coding RNA of Triticum aestivum (bread wheat), 134 nucleotides long. NCBI's taxonomy places the organism in Eukaryota, Viridiplantae, Streptophyta, Magnoliopsida, Poales, Poaceae. The record is from Rfam.
CAAAUACUCCCUCCGUCCCAAAAAGAUUGUCUUAGAUUUGUCAAGAUACGGAUGUAUCUAGACACAUUUGGUGUUUGAUACAUCCGUAUCUAGAUAAACCUAAGGCAAGCUUUUUGGGACGGAGGUAAUACGUU